This 68-nucleotide transfer RNA is filed under the name Cephalothrix sp. SCS-2010. RNAcentral describes it as "tRNA-Leu". Lineage: Eukaryota; Metazoa; Nemertea; Palaeonemertea; Archinemertea; Cephalotrichidae. The record is from RNAcentral. RNAcentral also lists the same sequence under 1 other name.
GUUAAGUUAGCAAAUUUAUGCGAUUGAUUUAGGAUCAAUAUAAGUUAAUUUUAAUUUAACACUUAAUU